RNAcentral lists this ribosomal RNA (253 nucleotides) under uncultured bacterium. RNAcentral's name for it is "partial 16S ribosomal RNA". It matches the Rfam family "Bacterial small subunit ribosomal RNA", at positions 524 to 776 of the family's 1533-position model. The record is from RNAcentral.
UACGUAGGGUGCAAGCGUUGUCCGGAAUUAUUGGGCGUAAAGAGCUCGUAGGCGGUCUGUCGCGUCUGCUGUGAAAACUCAGGGCUUAACCCUGAGCUUGCAGUGGGUACGGGCAGACUUGAGUUCGGCAGGGGAGACUGGAAUUCCUGGUGUAGCGGUGAAAUGCGCAGAUAUCAGGAGGAACACCGGUGGCGAAGGCGGGUCUCUGGGCCGAUACUGACGCUGAGGAGCGAAAGCGUGGGGAGCGAACAGG